CAGCAGCCGCGGUAAUACGGAGGAUCCAAGCGUUAUCCGGAGUCAUUGGGUUUAAAGGGUCCGUAGGCGGUUUAGUAAGUCAGUGGUGAGAGCCCAUCGCUCAACGGUGGAACGGCCAUUGAUACUGCUAAACUUGAAUUAUUAGGAAGUAACUAGAAUAUGUAGUGUAGCGGUGAAAUGCUUAGAGAUUACAUGGAAUACCAAUUGCGAAGGCAGGUUACUACUAAUGGAUUGACGCUGAUGGACGAAAGCGUGGGUAGCGAACAGGAUUAGAUACCCUGGUAGUCCACGCCGUAAACGAUGGAUACUAGCUGUUGGGAGCAAUCUCAGUGGCUAAGCGAAAGUGAUAAGUAUCCCACCUGGGGAGUACGUUCGCAAGAAUGAAACUCAAAGGAAUUGACGG
This 403-nucleotide ribosomal RNA is filed under the name uncultured bacterium. RNAcentral's name for it is "bacterial SSU rRNA". It matches the Rfam family "Bacterial small subunit ribosomal RNA", at positions 509 to 916 of the family's 1533-position model. The record is from RNAcentral.